This is a long non-coding RNA of Mus musculus (house mouse), 355 nucleotides long. RefSeq annotates it as predicted gene, 41355. The record is from RefSeq and is a predicted model, not a curated record. The transcript has 3 exons. Lineage: Eukaryota; Metazoa; Chordata; Mammalia; Rodentia; Muridae.
AGGGCUCCAAAGAAUGCCCCUCAAGUCCCACCCCACUACCCACCAGAAAACAAAACUAGCCAGCUUGAGUCACAUGUUCUGGUCACAAGAAAGUCCCACCAGAAGAAGCUUUGCCCUUCUGUUCUGCUUGAAUCUUUAGCUGACAGCAGGAGCUGACUCUGUAGAAAGAGGUCACAGGUCAGAGACUCGGUCCACGAGCCCUGCUUCUGAAAACCCAACCACCUAGAGCACAGCGAAACUGCAAACUGGAACAGGUGGGCUGGUUGGUUAACACAAGGAUAAGCAGCAGAGCCCGCCCCCAAGCGGGGGCGGAACUGACUGUAACAGGAGGAACCAAACAAGGACUUGAAGCUAA